GGAGCUAAAAACAAGGUGACUCGUCCUGUACCAGCCCGCCAGUUGGCGUGUCCGGGAUCAAAUUAAAUAACAUGGCUAAGUAUGUAGAACUGCCUGUAGAGUGCUUGCGGACGCGGGUUCAAUUCCCGCCGUCUCCACCA
RNAcentral lists this transfer-messenger RNA (140 nucleotides) under Gallionella sp. RNAcentral's name for it is "partial transfer-messenger RNA". It matches the Rfam family "transfer-messenger RNA", at positions 229 to 374 of the family's 374-position model. From Rfam's summary of the family: Bacterial tmRNA, also known as 10Sa RNA or SsrA, is named for its dual tRNA and mRNA-like properties. The record is from RNAcentral. Lineage: Bacteria; Pseudomonadati; Pseudomonadota; Betaproteobacteria; Nitrosomonadales; Gallionellaceae.